UUUCAAGGAAGCAUCUUGUUGAAGUCUACUUUGCCUUGUUCCACAGCCAUAUUAUCUAUGGACUGCAGAUGUGGGGACAUGCGCCCGGAUGUAAUGAUGUGCUUCUUCAACAGAAAAAGGCAUUACGAAUUUUGGACUCAGCCAGAUACCUUAUUCAAUGUCAGCCGAUCUUCAUCAGACUGGGUAUCUAUAUGGUGUUCAACCAGUAUAUUCUGCUCUCCUUGCUACACAUAAAAAGUCAUUAUCACUCAAUGACAAGAAGAGCCGAUAAGCAUUCGUAUAAUACCAGAGGGAAAGCUAAAAUUGAUGUACCCUUCUGCAGAUUGAACAAGAAAAGAGACUGUUUCCCUGUACUGGCACAGAAGAUCUUUAACGUGCUGCCAGACAUGGUGAGGGAUCUGGAUGACAGAAGUUUUAGUGGAAGGAUUAGAGCCUGGCUGCAUGGGAUGCCAUUCUACUCUGUGGCUGAAUACUUCGAGGCCGACAAGUCUUUAAUUUGAUUCAAGUGAUUUAGAAUCUGAGCGACCAUCUCGAUCGAUUUUUAAGCUUUAAAAACGUUAAUGUUUGACAAGUUUUGUAAAAAAUUUUACAAUCAACGACGACCAAAUUAGGUCUGAAUAUAAAAUGACGCCGUCCAUCCAGGAAGCUGGUCAAUGACGAAGGACAGAAGUAUGAAGUGGUGUUGACAGGUAAUGGAUUGGAGACACAAAAUGGAUUAUAAGGUUACAGAGUAUAAGGAAAAGCUAGACCACAACGUAUCAAACGAAAUAAGGACACCGGCUUACAAAAGAUGGAUAAAAGAGGCUGUCGAUUUUCAAGAUGAUAAGUGGAAGAAGCUCGUAUCAAGAUCUGUGGACGAAGUAUCAAAGAGGAAUCUGGGGGAAAAAAUUGAUGCUGCUUA
Nilaparvata lugens (brown planthopper) is the source of this 901-nucleotide long non-coding RNA. RefSeq lists it as uncharacterized. NCBI's taxonomy places the organism in Eukaryota, Metazoa, Arthropoda, Insecta, Hemiptera, Delphacidae. The record is from RefSeq and is a predicted model, not a curated record. The transcript is spliced from 3 exons.